This 465-nucleotide ribosomal RNA is filed under the name uncultured bacterium. RNAcentral's name for it is "partial 16S ribosomal RNA". It matches the Rfam family "Bacterial small subunit ribosomal RNA", at positions 28 to 507 of the family's 1533-position model. The record is from RNAcentral.
GACGAACGCUGGCGGCGUGCUUAACACAUGCAAGUCGAACGCUGAACCCGCGUCGGUGGGGGCUGAGUGGCGCACGGGUGAGUAACACGUGGGCAACCUGCCCCCGGCUCUGGGAUAACUCCAAGAAAUUGGGGCUAAUACCGGAUGUGACCGCUGUCCGCAUGGUCUGGUGGUGGAAAGGGUUUCCGGCUGGGGAUGGGCCCGCGGCCUAUCAGCUUGUUGGUGGGGUAGUGGCCUACCAAGGCGACGACGGGUAGCCGGCCUGAGAGGGUGACCGGCCACACUGGGACGGAGACACGGCCCAGACUCCAACGGGAGGCAGCAGUGGGGAAUAGUGCGCAAUGGGCGGAAGCCUGACGCAGCGACGCCGCGUGGGGGAUGACGGCCUUCGGGUUGUAAACCACUGUCAGCAGGGACGAAGCGAAAGUGACGGUACCUGCAGAAGAAGCACCGGCCAACUACGUG